UACGGAGGGUGCAAGCGUUAUCCGGAUUCACUGGGUUUAAAGGGUGCGUAGGUGGGUCUGUAAGUCCGUGGUGAAAUCUCCGAGCUUAACUUGGAAACUGCCAUGGAUACUAUAGAUCUUGAAUACUGUGGAGGUUAGCGGAAUAUGUCAUGUAGCGGUGAAAUGCUUAGAUAUGACAUAGAACACCAAUUGCGAAGGCAGCUGGCUACACGAAUAUUGACACUGAUGCACGAAAGCGUGGGGAUCAAACAGG
This 253-nucleotide ribosomal RNA is filed under the name uncultured bacterium. Its description in RNAcentral is "partial 16S ribosomal RNA". It matches the Rfam family "Bacterial small subunit ribosomal RNA", at positions 524 to 776 of the family's 1533-position model. The record is from RNAcentral.